GAUGAACGCUGGCGGCGUGCCUAAUACAUGCAAGUCGAGCGAACGGACGAGAAGCUUGCUUCUCUGAUGUUAGCGGCGGACGGGUGAGUAACACGUGGAUAACCUACCUAUAAGACUGGGAUAACUUCGGGAAACCGGAGCUAAUACCGGAUGAUAUUUUGUACCGCAUGGUUCAAAAGUGAAAGACGGUCUUGCUGUCACUUAUAGAUGGAUCCGCGCUGCAUUAGCUAGUUGGUAAGGUAACGGCUUACCAAGGAAACGAUGCAUAGCCGACCUGAGAGGGUGAUCGGCCACACUGGAACUUAGACACGGUCCAGACUCCUACGGGAGGCCGCAGUUGGGAAUCUUCCGCCAUGGGCGGAAGCCUUACGGAGCAACGCCGCGUGGGGGAUGAAAGUCUUCGGAUCUUAAAACUCUGUUAUUAGGGGAGAACAUAUGUGUAGGUAACUGUGCACAGCUUGACGGUACCUAGUCAGAAAGGCACGGCUAACUUCGUG
This 497-nucleotide ribosomal RNA is filed under the name uncultured bacterium. Its description in RNAcentral is "partial 16S ribosomal RNA". It matches the Rfam family "Bacterial small subunit ribosomal RNA", at positions 28 to 507 of the family's 1533-position model. The record is from RNAcentral.